Molecule: long non-coding RNA, 3095 nt
Filed under: Astyanax mexicanus (Mexican tetra)
Lineage: Eukaryota; Metazoa; Chordata; Actinopteri; Characiformes; Acestrorhamphidae
Description: lncRNA (ENSAMXG00005002626.1)
Source: RNAcentral
CGCAAUUCAUAUUGGUAAGUGACUAAGUUAUAGUAGGCAAUUCCUAGUAGUCACUAAUAGUAGUUAAUAAAUAAUUCACAGUGGUUACUAACUAAUUCAGAGUAAAUACACCUGUGCUUUAAUGAAUCUGCCUGUCUAGAGUUUUUAGGAUGUAAUCCUAAUCCGGUUGCAGCGCAGCUCCGCGGCCAGCAGGUGUCGCGCUUUCAUCGUCCCGUUUGUCCCAAUGACUUCUCCAGGUAAAUGAACCCAAACAAAUCCCCUCUCCUUCCGCCUUCAUCCGCCUCUCUGUAGCACGUUAGUGUGCGCAGGAUAUCCCAGCGGUUCUCCCCGGAGCUCGAGCCUCCUGCGCGCGGUCAGGGAUGAUCCAGCGACGGACUGGAGCCGAGAAAGCUGGAAUACCGGGGCUUAAACCCGCUGCUGCGGCUCUGAUCCAGCGGUCUGGACUGACCUGCGGACCGGCCAGUAAAGUUCGGUUGUGAAGCAGAAAGAGGAGAAGGAGAGGGACAAACACACACACACACACACACACACACAGGUGGGGAAAACACGGGUUCUUCCCCAACUUAUCCCUGGACGGUUCCUCCAGUUUAAACUCUUAACAGCGGGUGGAGGAGGCAGCGGGUGUUCGGGGCGAUGCAGCUCCGCGGCGGGUCCGCCUGGGAAUAACAGGAAUUCGGACAUUCCCAACUUCACUAAACAGACUCUGACUCCUCCCUCCCUCUCUUCUCUCUAUGAUAUGACAUCACCCAGCGGUUACCACAGAAACCGGCGCUCCACUGCAGACAGUUGACAGCCAGGCAGGUGCUGAGAUGGCUGCCCAGGUAGAAAUUGAGGGUAGCCGCCUACAUCUGAGUCCUCUGACGGACUCUAGUAAUAAAGGCCUUAUGGAGGGCUCACCUGGAUCACAGUCUUCUCUCAUUAUCAACCCAGAGCCAAGGAAACCUUUACCAGGCCCUAAACCCAGACUAACUCCAAAACCUUUUUCUGUGGAAAGAAACCCCACGAUACGACCCAUUCUAGCCCCUAAACCAAACCCCAAACCUAGACCUGAAUCUACUCGACCAGUUUCCUCCAAACCGGACAAACCAGAACCUCCUAGCACCUACAAACCACAGCCAGUAAGCAAACCCAGGCCAACAGCUGGACGACCAGCUUCGACCACUUUUAAACCUGGACCAAAGCCCAGUCCAGGCCAAACCACCAAGCCAGAAGCCCAGGUCUUGAAGCCAGUUCCUACUUCCGUAUCUACAGAACCCAAAAAACCGACUUCAACUCCAACUGUAAGUGUGCUGAGAAGAACCAGCUUGGGAACCUCCACAACUCAGCCCAAGCCAGGCCUCCACCCACCGCGUCCUGCUGCAGAGUGGUCCGGGGCCUCCAGACCCAAACCAGCAGGUACUUCAAUGACGAGGGCCAAAUCCAUGGGCUAUUUACCUGAAGCUGGACUUGAAGGAGAAGGAGAUAAGGAAGCAAAGGAUGUCCUCAGACCCAAUGAAGGUGGUCUCAAGAACUCCAGACCCAGACCAGUGUCUGCCAUUUUUCCUGCAGAUACAACCCAGCAGGAGCCCAAAUCCACAGCGCCCACUCCAGCACCCCGCUGGACCCCAAGACGUCCACUUUCAGCAGAUCUCACUUCUAAAUUCGAGUCCAUUGGACUUUCUCUGCACCGGCAAAAGCCUACAACAGCAGACAGCAAGGAGAACACUCCAGAACCUCCAACGCAAGACAGCUCUACUGCUCAGGAAGGAGUGGGUGAAGCCAACAGCAAAGAGAAAGACCAACCCGAGAACGAAGGAAAGAGCAAAUCAUCCGUUUUGGAGAAAAGAGCGCCAGAAGGGGAGGACACAAAACCUGAGGAAAAGGGUGGAAGUAUUGUAAAGAGGAGGAUCAGCCUUCUUCUAGACUCCUCCUCAUCCUCCUUCUCUCUGCCUGCUACUAAAGGGGCGGAGCCACGGUCUCCAGUGCAGCCAAUCCCAGACACAGAUGGAGCCAUAGGGGUCAAACAACGAAUCAAGGAGUUGACCGAGGAUAGUUCCACUGCACCGACUCCGCCCCAGAAACCCCAGUUUAAGCCACGCCCACUGCCAUCAGAUCUCACGAAACGGUUUGUGUCAGAGGUGGAAAGCCCCAGCUCCGGCGAGGCUAAAAGCCUUCAGGAGAGUGCUGAAGAGCUCAACAAGAAGUUUGAGGACCCUUUUACCACUGUGCAAUCAAAGCCCCCAGAAGACAAGAAGCCACAAGACAUUCAAGACUCCUCCAUCCAGCCUUCUAGCAACAGUGUUGGAAUGCAAACAGUCAGAGCUUCUCUGUUUGAUAAUGUGGUGGAAAGACACAAUGUUCAGAUGGUGGAGGACAGUAGCAGUUCCGCAAGUCCAGCAGUAAAACCUUUACCCAGACGAACCCUUUCUCUCCGGGCUAAAGCAGCAGACAGUACGCCCAAGCUUCUGGAGGAUGCAGAGGAUGGUAGUUUGGUCACUGCAACUUAUAGGCAGCCCGAGUCUCCAUCCAGUCCUCAGCGAGUGGAGCAUGUUUUUGACACUCUGGCUCCUGUUGAGGGGAUCCGUGCUGUCAGUGAAAGUGUACCAUCCGCUCACUUAGAGGACCGGGCCCUUACGCUCCGUUCACGAAAGUCAGAAGGGUCCGAAAGGACACGGCAGGCAAGUGGAGGGCAGGUUGAAGAUAGCAGCUUAAGCCUGGGCUCUAAAAAACAGUCUGAGACCUCGAAUCCCAGAGUUCUCAGAGUGGGGGCGAUGCAGAAGUGGGGCCGUUCAGAAGUUGUGGAUCCUGAGAAAGAAAAGCAGAAAGAGUUAGUGAGGAACAUGGAAGAAGAAAUACAGAGACAGCUGAAGGUUCACAUGGCUGCUCAAGCUGAAUUGGAAGAGGAGGAGCGACAGAGUAAGAUGGAGCAGCAGAAACAGAUGGAAGAGGAGAGGCAGAGGCAGUUUGAGGCAGAAAGACAGAGACAGAUGGAGGCGGAGAGGCAGAGGAAGAUGGAGGCGGAGAGGCAGAGGCAGCUGGAGGCGGAGAGACAGAGGCAGAUGGAGGCGGAGAGGCAGAGGCAGAUGGAGGCGGAGAGGCAGAGGCAGCUGGAGGCG